RNAcentral lists this ribosomal RNA (497 nucleotides) under uncultured bacterium. RNAcentral's name for it is "partial 16S ribosomal RNA". It matches the Rfam family "Bacterial small subunit ribosomal RNA", at positions 28 to 507 of the family's 1533-position model. The record is from RNAcentral.
GACGAACGCUGGCGGCGUGCCUAAUACAUGCAAGUUGAGCGGUAAGGGUUGGUAUUUGUACCAAGUGGGUGAGCAGCGAAGGGGUGAGUAACGCGUGGGAAAUCUGCCUUUGAGCGGGGGACAACAUUGGGAAAGGAAUGCAAAUACGGCAGAAAAACUUGAAACACAGGUUUGAAGUUUGAAAGAUGCAAUUGCAUGAUUCAAAGAUGACCCCGCGUUGUAUUAGCUGGUUGGUGAGGUAAAGGCUCACCAAGGCGAUGAUACAUAGCCGACCUGAGAGGGUGAUCGGCCACAUUGGGACUGAGACACGGCCCAAACUCCUACGGGAGGCAGCAGUAGGGAAUCUUCGGCAAUGGACGAAAGUCUGACCGAGCAACGCCGCGUGAGUGAAGAAGGUUUUCGGAUCGUAAAACUCUGUUGGUAGAGAAGAACGUUGGUGAGAGUGGAAAGCUCAUCAAGUGACGGUAACUACCCAGAAAGGGACGGCUAACUACGUG